GAUGAACGCUAGCGGCGGGCUUAAUACAUGCAAGUCGAGGGGCAGCACGAUGUAGCAAUACAUUGGUGGCGACCGGCGGACGGGUGCGUAACACGUAUGCAACUUGCCCUAUACUGGAAGAUAGCCCGAAGAAAUUCGGAUUAAUAUUCCAUAAUAUCAGGAUAAGCAUUUAUCUUGGUUCAAAGCUCCGGCGGUAUAGGAUGGGCAUGCGGUC
RNAcentral lists this ribosomal RNA (214 nucleotides) under uncultured bacterium. RNAcentral describes it as "partial 16S ribosomal RNA". It matches the Rfam family "Bacterial small subunit ribosomal RNA", at positions 28 to 238 of the family's 1533-position model. The record is from RNAcentral.